AAAACAUGUCUUUUUGAAAAUAAUAAAAAGUCUAAUCUGCCCACUGAAUUUAUUUAAAGGGCUGCAGUAUAUUGACUGUACAAAGGUAGCAUAAUCAAUAGUCUUUUAAUUGAAGACUUGUAUGAAUGAUUUGAUGAAAUAUGAACUGUCUCUUUUUUAAAAAUAAAAUUUAAUUUUUUAGUUAAAAAGCUAAAAUAAUUAUAAAAGACGAGAAGACCCUAUAGAGUUUUAUAGUUAUUUAAUUUAAAAAUUUUAUAUAAAAUUUAAAUUUAAAAUUAAUUAAUUAUUUUAUUGGGGUGAUAGAAAAAUUAAAAAAACUUUUUUUAAAAAUUUAACAUUAAUUUAUGAAAUUAUGAUCCAUAAUUUAUGAUUAAAAGAAUCAAUUACCUUAGGGAUAACAGCGUAAUUUUUUUUUUUAGUACAAAUAAGAAAAAGAGUUUGCGACCUCGAUGUUGGAUUAAGAUAAAAUUUAAAUGCAAAAGUUUAAAAUUUUUGAUCUGUUCGAUCAUUAAAAUCUUACAUGAUCUGAGCUCAAAC
This is a ribosomal RNA of 537 nucleotides. The stretch from base 394 to 537 matches the Rfam family "Archaeal large subunit ribosomal RNA", at positions 2542 to 2685 of the family's 2987-position model.